GCAGCAGCAGCAGGAGGAGGAGGUUCUCAACAAUGUCCGAUGCGUUUUGCUCUGACUGCAAGCGUCAGACCGAGGUUGUUUUCGACCAUUCCGCCGGAGACACCGUGUGUUCCGAGUGUGGUCUUGUGCUUGAGUCCCACUCCAUCGAUGAGACCUCCGAGUGGAGGACUUUUGCCAAUGAGUCUGGGGAUAACGACCCGGUUCGUGUUGGUGGACCGACCAAUCCACUUUUGGCUGAUGGUGGGCUUUCAACCGUGAUUGCGAAGCCUAAUGGUACGACUGGGG
Molecule: unclassified non-coding RNA, 285 nt
Filed under: Hevea brasiliensis (rubber tree)
Lineage: Eukaryota; Viridiplantae; Streptophyta; Magnoliopsida; Malpighiales; Euphorbiaceae
Source: RNAcentral